AUGAAGCAACAGGUUGUAAUUAAUCCAGGAAAUCCUACAGGCCAGGUAAAUGUUCUUACUUAAGAGAACCAAUGAGAUAACGUCGAGUUCUGCAAGAAAGAAGAUUUGGUCCUUUUAGCAGAUGAGGUAAGUGAUUCGCUAUGCAGUUAAUGCGGUAAAAAUUGGAUAUCGGUAAAAAAUCUGAUAUCGGUGAAAUUUAUAUCUGAGCCUCUUUUGAUCGUUUGAGCUACCUGAGUAUGGAAAAAGCCAUUUACACUAACCGCAAAAUAAAACAAGAUUGCUGGUAUCAUUUUCUAUUUAUUUGCCAACUCUCUUUUAAAUGCUAUGAUGAUGCAUUUGAAGUUCUUUAUGCCGAAAGGUUUUAGUAUUGCUGAAUAGAGCCGUUCAUAGUCUUUACUAGCUGUUUUUAAGGAUAUUAUCCCUAGAACAAGAACUGUAUUAGGCUACCUACUGAAAAAGAGCUUGCAAUGGUCGGUUUCGGGGCCGAAUCAUAGUUUACAGUGUCUAAACCUUUAAAUGAACAAACACACAUUGACAUAAAUGAAUA
RNAcentral lists this long non-coding RNA (547 nucleotides) under Helianthus annuus (common sunflower). Lineage: Eukaryota; Viridiplantae; Streptophyta; Magnoliopsida; Asterales; Asteraceae. The record is from RNAcentral.